UUUUUUUAUAAACUCUAUCGGCUGAUCCGGUUAUUUUCGGUAGAAACGCACCGAAAUACUUCAGAGUGGACUUCUUUCCGAAGUACCACCACACUAUUUGUCCCGAGUUUGGAAUGUUUUCCGACUAAUGCCAGAGGAUAGUCAGGCCACCUGUAUUUCUGACUACCAGGUAAACCAAUUGGGUCAAGACCCAACUGACAGACUUCCCAAACAAAUGUGAUUUUUGUUUUCAGAGAGGACUGAACUCGGGUCUGAGAAUUUCACCCUUUUCUAAUCAAGUAGUUCCAUACUUUCCAACUUAUAAUGAAUUUUGACCGAGAACCAAAUUAUGCAAAUCAUUUGCUUCCGUCAUCAAAAUUAUGAUU
Molecule: small RNA, 365 nt
Filed under: Arabidopsis thaliana (thale cress)
Lineage: Eukaryota; Viridiplantae; Streptophyta; Magnoliopsida; Brassicales; Brassicaceae
Description: ATSL095220
Source: RNAcentral